RNAcentral lists this unclassified non-coding RNA (244 nucleotides) under uncultured Conocybe. RNAcentral describes it as "sequence contains ITS1". The record is from RNAcentral. Lineage: Eukaryota; Fungi; Basidiomycota; Agaricomycetes; Agaricales; Bolbitiaceae.
AAGAAAUAAACUUGAUGGGUUGUAGCUGGCUCUAACUUGAGUAUGUGCACACCUGUCAUUUUUAUCUUUCCACCAUGUGCACUUUGCAUAGGUCUGAAAAUCACUAGUCCUUUUUGGACUUUUGAUGUCUUGGGAACUGCUGUUCUUCACAGUCAGCUUUUCCUGUCUUCAGGCUCUAUGAUUUUUAAUACACCAUGUAUGUUAAAGAACGCUUUACAGGCUUUCAAAGCCUAUAAACAUAAUA